ACUCAAAUGAAUUGACGGGGGCCCGCACAAGCGGUGGAGCAUGUGGUUUAAUUCGACGCAACGCGAAGAACCUUACCUGGGCUCGAAAUGUUAUGGACCGGAGUGGAAACAUUCCUUCCCCGCAAGGGGCCGUAAUAUAGGUGCUGCAUGGCUGUCGUCAGCUCGUGUCGUGAGAUGUUGGGUUAAGUCCCGCAACGAGCGCAACCCUUAUCUUCAGUUGCUACCAUUUAGUUGAGCACUCUGACGAAACCGCCUCGGAUAACGGGGAGGAAGGUGGGGAUGACGUCAAGUCCUCAUGGCCUUUAUGUCCAGGGCUACACACGUGCUACAAUGGCCGGUACAAACCGUCGCAAACCCGUGAGGGGGAGCUAAUCGGAAAAAGCCGGCCUCAGUUCGGAUCGUAGUCUGCAACUCGACUACGUGAAGCUGGAAUCGCUAGUAAUCGCGGAUCAGAAUGCCGCGGUGAAUACGUUCCCGGGCCUUGUACACACCGCCCGU
RNAcentral lists this ribosomal RNA (498 nucleotides) under uncultured bacterium. RNAcentral describes it as "partial 16S ribosomal RNA". It matches the Rfam family "Bacterial small subunit ribosomal RNA", at positions 899 to 1397 of the family's 1533-position model. The record is from RNAcentral.